GGGUCCAUUGCUCAGUUGGUAGAGCACAAGGCUCUUAACCUUGCGGACGUGGGUUCAAGCCCCACGAUGGAGGCU
This is a non-coding RNA of Triticum aestivum (bread wheat), 75 nucleotides long. The record is from the annotation of a RefSeq genome assembly. Lineage: Eukaryota; Viridiplantae; Streptophyta; Magnoliopsida; Poales; Poaceae.